AGUAAAAGUCGUAACAAGGUCUCCGUUGGUGAACCAGCGGAGGGAUCAUUACAGAGUUAUCCAACUCCCAAACCCAUGUGAACUUAUCUCUUUGUUGCCUCGGCGCAAGCUACCCGGGACCUCGCGCCCCGGGGGGCCCGCCGGCGGACAAACCAAACUCUGUUAUCUUCGUUGAUUAUCUGAGUGUCUUAUUUAAUAAGUCAAAACUUUCAACAACGGAUCUCUUGGUUCUGGCAUCGAUGAAGAACGCAGCGAAAUGCGAUAAGUAAUGUGAAUUGCAGAAUUCAGUGAAUCAUCGAAUCUUUGAACGCACAUUGCGCCCAUUAGUAUUCUAGUGGGCAUGCCUGUUCGAGCGUCAUUUCAACCCCUAAGCACAGCUUAUUGUUGGGACUCUACGGCUUCGUAGUUCCCCAAAGACAUUGGCGGAGUGGCAGCAGUCCUCUGAGCGUAGUAAUUCUUUAUCUCGCUUUUGUUAGGCGCCGCCCCCCCGGCCGUUAAACCCCCCAAUUUUUUCUGGUUGACCUCGGAUCAGGUAGGAAUACCCGCUGAACUUAAGCAUAUCAAUAAGCGGAGGAAAAGAAACCAACAGGGAUUGCCCCAGUAACG
Molecule: ribosomal RNA, 606 nt
Filed under: uncultured fungus
Lineage: Eukaryota; Fungi
Description: eukaryotic LSU rRNA
Rfam family: 5.8S ribosomal RNA (bases 205-358)
Source: RNAcentral